Molecule: ribosomal RNA, 253 nt
Filed under: uncultured bacterium
Lineage: Bacteria
Description: partial 16S ribosomal RNA
Rfam family: Bacterial small subunit ribosomal RNA
Source: RNAcentral
UACGAAGGGGGCUAGCGUUGCUCGGAAUCACUGGGCGUAAAGCGCACGUAGGCUGCUCGUUAAGUCGAGGGUGAAAUCCUGGAGCUCAACUCCAGAACUGCCUUCGAUACUGGCGAGCUCGAGUCCGGGAGAGGUGAGUGGAACUGCGAGUGUAGAGGUGAAAUUCGUAGAUAUUCGCAAGAACACCAGUGGCGAAGGCGGCUCACUGGCCCGGUACUGACGCUGAGGUGCGAAAGCGUGGGGAGCAAACAGG